GACGCUGGCGGCGUGCCUAACACAUGCAAGUCGAGCGGGGAGGAGGAAGCUUGCUUCCGAAUCCUAGCGGCGGACGGGUGAGUAACGCGUGAGCAACCUGCCUCAAACAGGGGGAUAACGCAUCGAAAGAUGUGCUAAUACCGCGUAAGACCACAGCACCGCAUGGUGCGGGGGUCAAAGGAGCAAUCCGGUUUGAGAUGGGCUCGCGUCCGAUUAGCUAGUUGGUGAGAUAACAGCCCACCAAGGCAACGAUCGGUAGCCGACCUGAGAGGGUGAUCGGCCACAUUGGAACUGAGAAACGGUCCAGACUCCUACGGGAGGCAGCAGUGGGGAAUAUUGGGCAAUGGGCGAAAGCCUGACCCAGCAACGCCGCGUGAGGGAAGAAGGGUUUCGGCUCGUAAACCUCUGUCCUAUGGGACGAAGAAGUGACGGUACCAUAGGAGGAAGCCCCGGCUAACUACGUG
RNAcentral lists this ribosomal RNA (464 nucleotides) under uncultured bacterium. RNAcentral's name for it is "bacterial SSU rRNA". It matches the Rfam family "Bacterial small subunit ribosomal RNA", at positions 33 to 507 of the family's 1533-position model. The record is from RNAcentral.